RNAcentral lists this ribosomal RNA (274 nucleotides) under uncultured bacterium. RNAcentral's name for it is "partial 16S ribosomal RNA". It matches the Rfam family "Bacterial small subunit ribosomal RNA", at positions 523 to 796 of the family's 1533-position model. The record is from RNAcentral.
AUACGGAGGGUGCAAGCGUUGUUCGGAAUCACUGGGCGUAAAGGGCGCGCAGGCGGUUUGGUAAGUCAGAUGUGAAAGCCCACGGCUCAACCGUGGAAGUGCAUUUGAAACUGUCAGACUUGAGUACUAGAGGGGAAAGUGGAAUUCCCGGUGUAGAGGUGAAAUUCGUAGAUAUCGGGAGGAAUACCGGUGGCGAAGGCGACUUUCUGGCUAGAUACUGACGCUGAGGCGCGAAAGCGUGGGGAGCAAACAGCAUUAGAUACCCUAGUAGUCC